AGAGUCACUCGGGUGACCGCGCGUGGGAAUUCCCGCUCGAGGAAAGUCCGGGCUUCAUAGGACGCAGUGGUGGCUAACGGCCACCGGGGGAAACCCUAGGGAAAGUGCCACAGAAAAUAAACCGCCUAAGCAACCUCGGUUGCCGGUAAGGGUGAAAUGGCGAGGUAAGAGCUCACCGCACGCUUGGUAACAAGCGUGGCAGGGUAAACCCCACUGGAAGAAAGUUCACAUAGGGAGGGAUGGCGUUGUCCGCGCCACUACAACCUCCGGGUAGAGCGUUUGAGGCUAGCGGCAACGCCAGUCCCAGAGAAAUGGUCACCCCCUCUAAGGAGGGACAGGAUCCGGCUUACAGAGUGGCUCUCCGC
This 365-nucleotide RNase P RNA is filed under the name Planctomycetota bacterium. Its description in RNAcentral is "Planctomycetes bacterium RNase P RNA component class A". It matches the Rfam family "Bacterial RNase P class A". Rfam says of the family: Ribonuclease P (RNase P) is a ubiquitous endoribonuclease, found in archaea, bacteria and eukarya as well as chloroplasts and mitochondria. Lineage: Bacteria; Pseudomonadati; Planctomycetota. The record is from RNAcentral.